RNAcentral lists this long non-coding RNA (360 nucleotides) under Sander lucioperca (pikeperch). Its description in RNAcentral is "lncRNA (ENSSLUG00000015285.1)". The record is from RNAcentral. Lineage: Eukaryota; Metazoa; Chordata; Actinopteri; Perciformes; Percidae.
CAGAGUCUCAUCUAUGACACACCUGCAGCUGAAAAAGGGAUUUCUACUAGCACUGUGUUUCUGAAAGUAGCCAAUGAAACCUUGGCCUGCCUACCAAUGACCUACUAUCCAGAGCCUGAGUUCACUAGCUUCACAUCCACAAGGACAGGGGACGAUGUGCGCAUCACCAUACAGAAAAAGGCAGACAAACUGGAGAUGACCAUAGCAGAGUUGGAGGUGUGGGGCGUUGAGGAAGAAAAAAAACACCCCUGCAUCAUGGUAACCAAAGAAACCAGUAAUGAGACUGACUUUUUCAUCUGUGAGAUUCAAAGGACAGCCAACGCUAACUUUCAGCAGUUAAUGGUAAAUCUUUCAGCCACA